GAUGAAGAACGCAGCAAAAUGCGAUAAGUAAUGUGAAUUGCAGAAUUCAGUGAAUCAUCGAAUCUUUGAACGCACAUUGCGCCCGCCAGUAUUCUGGCGGGCAUGCCUGUUCGAGCGUCAUUUCAACCCUCAAGCUCAGCUUGGUGUUGGGACUCGCGGUAACCCGCGUUCCCCAAAUCGAUUGGCGGUCACGUCGAGCUUCCAUAGCGUAGUAAUCAUACACCUCGUUACUGGUAAUCGUCGCGGCCACGCCGUAAAACCCCAACUUCUGAAUGUUAACCUCGGAUCAGGUAGGAAUACCCGCUGAACUUAAGCAUAUCAAUAAGCGGAGGA
RNAcentral lists this unclassified non-coding RNA (333 nucleotides) under soil metagenome. RNAcentral's name for it is "partial contains 5.8S ribosomal RNA, internal transcribed spacer 2, and large subunit ribosomal RNA". The stretch from base 1 to 120 matches the Rfam family "5.8S ribosomal RNA", at positions 35 to 154 of the family's 154-position model. The record is from RNAcentral.